GAUGAACGCUGGCGGCGUGCUUAACACAUGCAAGUCGAACGAUGAAGCCCAGCUUGCUGGGUGGAUUAGUGGCGAACGGGUGAGUAACACGUGAGUAACCUGCCCUUAACUCUGGGAUAAGCCUGGGCAACUGGGUCUAAUACCGGAUAGGAGCGUCCACCGCAUGGUGGGUGUUGGAAAGAUUUAUCGGUUUUGGAUGGACUCGCGGCCUAUCAGCUUGUUGGUGAGGUAAUGGCUCACCAAGGCGACGACGGGUAGCCGGCCUGAGAGGGUGACCGGCCACACUGGGACUGAGAGACGGCCCAGACUCCUACGGGAGGCAGCAGUGGGGAAUAUUGCACAAUGGGCGCAAGUCUGAUGCAGCGACGCCGCGGUAGGGAUGACGGCCUUCGGGGUGUGAACCUCUUUCGGUAGGGAAGAAGCGAUAGUGACGGUACCUGCAGAAGAAGCACCGGCUAACUACGUG
This 466-nucleotide ribosomal RNA is filed under the name uncultured bacterium. RNAcentral's name for it is "partial 16S ribosomal RNA". It matches the Rfam family "Bacterial small subunit ribosomal RNA", at positions 28 to 507 of the family's 1533-position model. The record is from RNAcentral.